AUGCGCGUCCGGGUCGGUGAUGUUCCAACGGCACGCGGGCCGCGUCUCGUUCGCGGGGCGCCACCGCUCGUACCGCGUCACCGUUGUCUCCCCGCCGCGGGCGGCCUCCGCGCUGCGCGCCGACGACAGGUAGUACACGGCGGGCUUGUGGCACGGCGUGCGCGCCAGGGGCCGCGUGUUGAACGCGUACGCCGUGUAGUCGGCGCGCCGGUACCAGUUGAGGAACGUCCGCGCCGGCAUCUCCAUCUCCCGCGGCGAGGUCACCCCCCUCGACACCAGCACGGCGAACCCCCACGCCACCGACACCGUCCACCGGUUCGCCCCGUCGUAGCAGAUGGACUGCUGCAUUAUCCCCGCCGGGUCCAGCUUCACGGGCCCGCUGAACAGCCUCCGCACCGCCGCGGGGCGCGCGGGCGCGUUGGGGAACAGCGGCUGCACCACGUCCAGGUGGUGCAGCGUCACGAUCGGCGCCACCGGGUGCGCCGCGAGGAGGCCCAGGAGGUCCCCGUACACGUCGUACUGGUGGAACCCCGGGUGCUUGGUGAGCGGCACCCCCAGCUCCGCCAUGCACGCCUGGAUCCGGUCGUCGCUGCCGUAGAGCGCCGGGUAGCGGCUGAUGCAGCCGUCCUGAAUCCGCGCGAGCGCCUCCGCCAGCGGCCUGCUGAUGGCAAAGCCGCCGCCGCCGUACGCCAUCCCGUAGGAGAAGUAGAUGUUCUGCAGGUGGCUCUCGGAGAGGGAGCCGAUGUAGUAGGGCUGUCGGUGGUCGAACUUGUUGAGGACGGUGAGCAGGUUGUCCGGGAAGAAGACGGUGUCGUCGUCGCCCAUGACGAACCAGCGCACGCCGGGGAGGCCGAGGCGGAAGGUCUCGGAGACGAUGCGGGAGAUGCGGAUGGCGGAGCGGUGGCCGCGGCGGUGCGUGUAGGGGAAGGCGGAGGUGUCGGAGGAGAUCUUGAUGGCCGGGAGCCCCGUCCGCGCCGUCGACAUGUUGGACUCCCGCACCUCGCGGUCCAGCCAGACGUAGCCGCGCAUGGCGCCGCGCGGGCGCCACCACACCUUGAUGUACUCCUUGCGCUUGUCCCAGAACCGCGACGAGGCCGCGAUGCCGAACACCACGUGCUGCAGCGUCGUCGCCGUGGACGCCGCCGCCGCCGCGGGGGCGGCCUUACUGCCGGCCACCGCCGCGGCGGUGCGGUUGGUGGAGACGCGGGAGGAGACCGCGGUGGGGUCCGGCGGGCAGGAGGCGGCGGACGAGGAGGCGGCGGAGGCGAGGAGGAGGUGGAGCGUGUAGAAGAAAUAGAGGGCGGUGAGGGGGAGGAGGAGCAGGAGGAGGAAGCGGAGGAAGGAGCCGGUGACGGACUCCUUGCCGCCGCCACCGCCACCGCCGCCCUUCAUUCCUGGCGCCGUGGCUGCUCCUCGCCGCCGCCGCGCCCGACCUCGCAAUGCCUCUUCCUCGGCGGGGACUGGGGUAUGCUGACCGACUGGUAUCGGGGAGUGGGUUUCUGGCGAGUGAGAUUUGGGAAGGAGAUUUACAUGGGCGGGUCGCGUGGGCAGCAGCCACGGGAGUGUGCCAGGUCGCCCAUCCCCUCCGCGUGUUGCUCUGCUUCUGGUUCUCUUCCUCGUCCCAAUCUCACUCUCUUCGCUUGUUCUAGCGCAGCGGCUUGGACUGGGAUUGAGUGGGGUUUUCGGGUGCGGUGGGGGGUGGGGUGGGUGGGGCGGCGCCUUUUCGAGGUUUCUCCCGUGCCGGUGCUGCACUGCCUGUAUGUCCCGUCGCUAAUCAAGUUCACAUUUAUUUUUCAACUACUAAAAAAGUUCACAUUUAUUUAUUUAUUUCCCACCAAAAAAGCCUAUUUAUUAAUUUUAUGGCAAGGUGCUGCCUGGGGAUGGAUGAUUACUUGCUGUGAUGACGUUGGUUUCUCUUUACAGAAACGUGGGAGGUUCUUCAAUUGA
RNAcentral lists this ribosomal RNA (1947 nucleotides) under Triticum aestivum (bread wheat). RNAcentral's name for it is "partial small subunit ribosomal RNA". The record is from RNAcentral. Lineage: Eukaryota; Viridiplantae; Streptophyta; Magnoliopsida; Poales; Poaceae.